This 253-nucleotide ribosomal RNA is filed under the name uncultured bacterium. RNAcentral describes it as "partial 16S ribosomal RNA". It matches the Rfam family "Bacterial small subunit ribosomal RNA", at positions 524 to 776 of the family's 1533-position model. The record is from RNAcentral.
UACGAAGGGUGCUAGCGUUGUUCGGAUUUACUGGGCGUAAAGCGCACGUAGGCGGAUCGUUAAGUCGGGGGUGAAAUCCUGGAGCUCAACUCCAGAACUGCCUUCGAUACUGGCGAUCUUGAGUCCGGAAGAGGUGAGUGGAACUCCUAGUGUAGAGGUGGAAUUCGUAGAUAUUAGGAAGAACACCAGUGGCGAAGGCGGCUCACUGGUCCGGUACUGACGCUGAGGUGCGAAAGCGUGGGGAGCAAACAGG